AGGGUUUGAUUAUGGCUCAGGAUGAACGCUGGCGGCGUGCUUAACACAUGCAAGUCGAACGAGAGAAGAUUGGUGCUUGCACUGAUCCGAUCGAGUGGCGGACGGGUGAGUAACGCGUGGGUAACCUGCCUCAUACAGGGGAAUAACAGUUGGAAACGGCUGCUAAAACCGCAUAAGCGCACGGUAUCGCAUGAUACAGUGUGAAAAACUCCGGUGGUAUGAGAUGGACCCGCGUCUGAUUAGCUAGUUGGUGAGGUAACGGCCCACCAAGGCAACGAUCAGUAGCCGGCCUGAGAGGGUGAACGGCCACAUUGGGACUGAGACACGGCCCAA
RNAcentral lists this ribosomal RNA (333 nucleotides) under uncultured bacterium. Its description in RNAcentral is "bacterial SSU rRNA". It matches the Rfam family "Bacterial small subunit ribosomal RNA", at positions 8 to 334 of the family's 1533-position model. The record is from RNAcentral.